CUACCACAUCCAAGGAAGGCAGCAGGCGCGCAAAUUACCCACUCCCGGCACGGGGAGGUAGUGACGAAAAAUAACAAUACGGGACUCUUACGAGACCCCGUAAUUGGAAUGAGUACACUCUAAAUCCUUUCGCGAGGAUCCAUUGGAGGGCAAGUCUGGUGCCAGCAGCUGCGGUAAUUCCAGUUCCAAUAGCGUAUAUUAAAGUUGUUGCGGUUAAAAAGCUCGUAGUUGGAUCUCAGUUCCAGGCGGGCGGUCCGCCUAACGGCGGCCACCGUCCGUUCUGAACAGCCAGCCGGCUGCGCUCGAUGAUCUUCACCGGUUGUCUUGCGCGUCCGGCACGUUUACUUUGAAAAAAUUAGAGUGCUCAGAGCAGGCGCGACGCCUGGAUAAUGGUGCAUGGAAUAAUGGAACAGGACCUCGGUUCUGCUUUGUUGGUUUUCGGGACGAGAGGUAAUGAUUAAGAGGGACAGACGGGGGCAUUCGUAUUGCCGCGCUAGAGGUGAAAUUCUUGGACCGCGGCAAGACGAACAGCAGCGAAAGCAUUUGCCAAGAAUGUUUCCAUUGAUCAAGAACGAAAGUUAGAGGUUCGAAGGCGAUCAGAUACCGCCCUAGUUCUAACCAUAAACGAUGCCAGCCAGCGAUCGGGCUGCGUUCCUCAAAUGACGCGCCCGGCAGCUUCCGGGAAACCAAAGCCUUUGGGUUCCGGGGGAAGUAUGGUU
Molecule: ribosomal RNA, 719 nt
Filed under: Chasmocephalon acheron
Lineage: Eukaryota; Metazoa; Arthropoda; Arachnida; Araneae; Anapidae
Description: SSU rRNA
Rfam family: Eukaryotic small subunit ribosomal RNA
Source: RNAcentral